UAGCGUAUCUAGUCUUUGUAUAUCUAUGGUCGGCAUGUCUGGUAGCAUCUCUGGCUGCUGUUGACCUUGUUUUUGGAGUAAAACACGGUGGAAGCUGAAUUAGUGAGGAUGACUCCUGCUCCUGUCAUCUCUAAACUCCUCACACAUCUUUACCUGCACAUGAGGAAAAUCACUCCUGUAGAAUGCAGAUGUUCAGAGGGAGAUGAUGCCACAUCUGGUCCAGCUGAUGGAAGGUCUUGAAGUUCUCUGACUGGCCUCGACUGAAGAUGGUCCUCUCACUGGAUUUAAGGUUCAGAUGCUCAGUAACAAACUCCACCAAUGUGCCAACAGGGAAGCUUUAGGUUUAUUAAAUGUUGCUAUGAAGGUAUCGCUGUUUUUCUUUGUGAAUGCAAUGUGCUCCAACUGAAACUUGAAUUAGAACUUAGAAGUAAAUCCUUCCAUCUGAAAGGAUUUAGUUGCAUUAAUGACCUCAUAACAUUCUAAUUUUUAUUCCAGUCUUGGCUGGAAAUAGAAUCUCUGUAUUGAUUCAGGUAAAAACUGAACUUCACAGCAUGUUGAAGCAAAACAACCAGAUGAAAACUGUGAUGGUGUUGGAUUGUCAGACCGUAAUGUUGCAGCUCAAAGCAGCUUUUCUAUCUCAGUUCAUUCUGACAUUCAGCUAUGAAUCAACACAGCAGAUGGUGAUCCAUGCUGUGGAAGUCUCACAUCUCCUGAUUUAAUGGAGCUGCUUUGCACUUUUUACACUGUUUAUUCACCAACACUUUAUUUAAUAAAAGUCCCAUCUAGUUUUCCUGAGGAAUGUGGUGUUUUAAUUUCUCUGUGAAUAACUGCAGUCUAAUGCAACAGCUGGAGUUGUAACAUCUGUCCUGAUAUUGAUCAUGAAGUAUUGAUCAGAAUACUUAUGGUUAGCAGUCAUCCCUGAAGUUUUACAUUAAAAUCUUUACUUGUGUUCUGAACUUUGGUAAGAAGCAGAAACUUUAGCGUUGCCAUGGAUACAUGAGUGUUAAAUUCUGUCCAUGUUUCAUUUUGGGAUGCAGUCCAGCAGAUGAGUUUGUUUUUACUGACAGCUACCAUUCAGUCUGAGACAUUAAGAAUAAAUAAAUGUGCAUAAUGUGGAAAUGAACAGAUUUUGUUUUUAUUUAUUCCUACAGCUUCUGCAGGUAAAGUUAUAGGAUGUGGAGGAAUUUAGUCUCACAAUCACAGACAAUAAAUAUUAUCUGAAAGUCGGGUUAUUGUUGUUUAUCAGCACAUUAGACAUAUUCCAGUUAAGACUCUAGAAUAUGAUUUAUGUAAAUUUACCUCAAUAAUAUGAAUGUUCGGG
Long non-coding RNA from Amphiprion ocellaris (clown anemonefish), 1321 nucleotides. RefSeq lists it as uncharacterized. NCBI's taxonomy places the organism in Eukaryota, Metazoa, Chordata, Actinopteri, Pomacentridae. The transcript has 3 exons. The record is from RefSeq and is a predicted model, not a curated record.